UGGUGGGUAGUUUGACUGGGGCGGUCUCCUCCUAAAGAGUAACGGAGGAGCACGAAGGUUGGCUAAUCCUGGUCGGACAUCAGGAGGUUAGUGCAAUGGCAUAAGCCAGCUUGACUGCGAGCGUGACGGCGCGAGCAGGUGCGAAAGCAGGUCAUAGUGAUCCGGUGGUUCUGAAUGGAAGGGCCAUCGCUCAACGGAUAAAAGGUACUCCGGGGAUAACAGGCUGAUACCGCCCAAGAGUUCAUAUCGACGGCGGUGUUUGGCACCUCGAUGUCGGCUCAUCACAUCCUGGGGCUGAAGUAGGUCCCAAGGGUAUGGCUGUUCGCCAUUUAAAGUGGUACGCGAGCUGGGUUUAGAACGUCGUGAGACAGUUCGGUCCCUAUCUGCCGUGGGCGCUGGAGAACUGAGGGGGGCUGCUCCUAGUACGAGAGGACCGGAGUGGACGCAUCACUGGUGUUCGGGUUGUCAUGCCAAUGGCACUGCCCGGUAGCUAAAUGCGGAAGAGAUAAGUGCUGAAAGCAUCUAAGCACGAAACUUGCCCCGAGAUGAGUUCUCCCUGAGACUUUAGGUCUCCUGAAGGAACGUUGAAGACGACGACGUU
Molecule: ribosomal RNA, 601 nt
Filed under: Salmonella enterica subsp. enterica serovar Chester
Lineage: Bacteria; Pseudomonadati; Pseudomonadota; Gammaproteobacteria; Enterobacterales; Enterobacteriaceae
Also listed under: 2 other names
Description: partial 23S ribosomal RNA
Rfam family: Bacterial large subunit ribosomal RNA
Source: RNAcentral